This is a microRNA precursor of Lepisosteus oculatus (spotted gar), 86 nucleotides long. Ensembl annotates it as microRNA 200b. NCBI's taxonomy places the organism in Eukaryota, Metazoa, Chordata, Actinopteri, Semionotiformes, Lepisosteidae. The record is from Ensembl.
UUGGAUGGCCAUUGACAUCUUACUAGGCAGCAUUGGAUGUGAUCUCCCUUUCUAAUACUGCCUGGUAAUGAUGAUGAUGGCUCUCU